GGGAGGGAGUGAAACGGGGGUGGAACUGAGGGCACUGUUGGUCGGUCGCACUUUCGCCACGUCCUCGCCUCGCUCUCUAUUUACAUAUAUGCAAAUAAGCUAUGACGUCCAACCAAAAUGAAGUCGAGAUAGGCCCAGCCAGGCCCAAGCCGGGUUUUUAAAGCGUUGGAAACGGGGAGGGACGAAUCGGCGGAGGGUGAAACCGCAGCUUGGGGAAGCCAUUACGUUGUCCGGCUUCGGUACUUUCGCCACACGUGUAUCUAAAUGAACGCUCAUUUGCAUAAAUCUGAAUACGACGCGGAGCGAUGCAAAUCAACCCUUUAAUGACUCAGGAAAUGGAUUGGGUGGGAACAAAGGCGGGGUCAGCUCGUGGGACGAAUCAGCGACGAGCGAAACCUCAGGCUGGGACAAAGGAACAGGUUAAUUAUUCGCACCUCGCACUUUCGCCAUGACCCUGAGGAAAGGAAAUGACGAAUGAACCCCCACCCAUUUGAGUGUCCCUCCCCCCCCCCCCGCGCCCCAUUUUUAUAAGGAGGAAAAUAAUUAAGAGCGAAUCAGCUGCCCGGGGAAUCUCAGCUAGGCCCCAAAAAGGAUACAACACACCCCUGGAAUGCAGGACACGCCUUGAAAGAAUGUGAAUCCUGAGUCUGUCUGCCUAACAGCCUAUAAUGAGCAGAAAGAGCUCUUACCAUAUUUCCCCUCUGUAAUGCGCACCAAAAUUGCCUGCAGCUGCUUUCCUGCGGGGGUGGGGAGGGAUUGCAUAGUGCCUGCGGGAGACGCGGCAGGCGAAUAUUGUGACUCCCAAAGCCAUUAGAAGUGGCCUGUCAUUAUUCCAAUGGAUGAUUGCUUGUACCACAGACGAGGUGAUAAUGAGCAAUGGAACUUCGUUAGGCCUUGAAAGCCACCAAGUGGUAGUCAAUGGCCACUCGUUAUUCAAAUGUAUGGAAGUUAUUGCUGACAGCACGGGCAGGGAGAUGAGGAGGCCCGGAGCGUUUGCGACGCGCUGAGAGCACUGAAAAUUGAGCCCCAACUUCGAUAACGAACGCCUUCCAACCCUGCCGCGCAGAGCGUCGGUAUUGAGACCGGUGCACUUAAAACGAUCGGAAGAAAACAGAACAAGUGAGAAUAAAAGCAGAGGUCAUAUUUUAA
Alligator mississippiensis (American alligator) is the source of this 1149-nucleotide long non-coding RNA. RefSeq lists it as uncharacterized. NCBI's taxonomy places the organism in Eukaryota, Metazoa, Chordata, Crocodylia, Alligatoridae. The record is from RefSeq and is a predicted model, not a curated record. The transcript is spliced from 2 exons.